UACAGAGGUCCCAAGCGUUGUUCGGAUUCACUGGGCGUAAAGGGUGCGUAGGCGGUCGGGUAAGUCUGGCGUGAAAUCUCCAAGCCUAACUUGGAAACUGCGUUGGAUACUAUCCGGCUCGAGGAAUGGAGGGGAGACUGGAAUACUUGGUGUAGCAGUGAAAUGCGCAGAUAUCAGGAGGAACACCAAUGGCGAAGGCAGCUCGCUGGGACGGUACUGACGCUGAGACGCGAAAGCGUGGGGAGCAAACAGG
This 253-nucleotide ribosomal RNA is filed under the name uncultured bacterium. RNAcentral describes it as "partial 16S ribosomal RNA". It matches the Rfam family "Bacterial small subunit ribosomal RNA", at positions 524 to 776 of the family's 1533-position model. The record is from RNAcentral.